Rattus norvegicus (Norway rat) is the source of this 7175-nucleotide non-coding RNA. NCBI's taxonomy places the organism in Eukaryota, Metazoa, Chordata, Mammalia, Rodentia, Muridae. The record is from RefSeq and is a predicted model, not a curated record.
CGGUUCCAAUUAACUGUUUAAAACACUUGGCAAUAAUAAUUCAGGCUGAUUGGUGUCAUUAUUUGAGCAGUAAUGAUGGUGUUGGUUUGUUUGAUCCUGUAUUUUUGGGAUAUGCCAAGGACUUGGAAAUUAUGUAAUGAAGAUAAGCAAAGGAUCUGCUGUUUUACUUAUGGCUGUGAAAAACAUAUUGCUUGGGUGGGGUCACAAAAAUCCUCUCUUCAAUUUUCCCAGGGAAUAUAACUUUAUGUUCUCAUAAAGUUUAAACUUCUCUUCAUCGUUCAAGUGUAUACUUCUCGGAAAAAAAAAACCCAAAUGUAGGUAAAUGAGCUUUUUAGUUUUAAUUCCACAUCAAUGAAUAUUCUUUUGGUUUCAAAGCAGUGGCAUCUCCAUUCCCUUAGAGAAGCAGGAUCACAGUAAUUGAAAAUGAAGUAUGAUUCGGUUUGCUAGAUUAUAAAUUUUCAGAAUGCCUCCUUCAGCAAAAAAGAGAUAGAUUGUUAUUAAUAACACUUAUAAUAAUGAGUAGUAUUUAGGAUGAGACACUAAGGUUGGAAGAGUCCUGGAGGGUAUACGUCAUAGCCACUCAAUACGUGAAUCCCCUCUUCUAUGUCCAACCCCUCAAGGGUCGUCCAAGCUUAACCACCUUUGGCUAUCUAGAAACUCAGUGACAUUAUUUCUUCAACAAAUAACAGUUGUCAUGGUUCAGAUGAUCAGAGUCUUAAUUUAUCAUCAUAAUGUGUCUAAUUGCAUUAUAAUUAUCUAUUAUUGAGAUAGGAAUUUACUAUGAUAUAAAAAAUACCCCCUUAAAUCAAUCACACUCGAACCAUAGCAUCCUCAUUUGCAUCAGACAUCUUUAAUUGGAGAGGACCGGCUGAAUGGAGCCCAAGGUGUCGAAAGAGACCUUGAGACAUCCAGGGGCCUACUGUGUCCCUUCAAGCGGGGUAGAUGCCAUGACAGUACCUUUGUAGACAUUAAAGAGGCUCCCUUGAAAGGGAGAGCUGUGGAGGUGGAGUUGAGGAGAUGGCUCAGUCAGUAAACUUCUUGCCACACAAGCCUGAAGACCUGAGUUCAGAUCCUCAGAACCCACGUAAAGAGAGGAGAAAAACGCUGAGCAUGAUAGCUCCUCUGUGACCUCAGUACAAGUGUGGCAGGAAAAAAGUGGGUCCUGGGAGCUUGCUGGUCAGCCACUCUAGCCAAGUAGGUGGUUUAGGAGCCAACUGGGUGUAGAUGGCCUGCGUUCACUCUCAUUUCUGGGGAAGGAAAGCAUUAUGCACACCUAUAAAUCCUGCCUUUUACAAUAAUGAAGAAAUUAAAAAGAGCCAAUGCCAUUUUCUUUCUUGAUACAAUUAGCUGAUCAAACUUCUCAAUUUGGAGGGCUCAGCUGAUUGAGUUGCAGAGCACACGCUGUUUAGUGAAAUCUAUGGCCAUGGCUAGUUCCACUGAUCGUUUUUCUCUGUCAUGAAGGUGUUAUUAUGGUUUCUACCUUUCCUGGUAAAUUAACCCCUCCAGUUCCCAUUCCAGGCAUCAAACUUCCCGGUGUUUGGGAAGGAUCUUACAUGGGGGACUGUGGUAUGACCCCAGAGGCCUUGACCAUCCCUGGUUGGUGGUGACAAAUCACAGGGGCAGAUCUUUCUGCUCUCCAGGGAACCCACGGACCCUAGAGUUGGUAUAUGUCACAGGCUCCUAGAUAAUUCUGAAAUUCUUUUAGGUUCAGGGAUUAAUCACCAAAGACUGUGUCUCCAGGAGCUUGAGAUUCCAACAAUAAUCUUCUUUUCGGUCUCUAAGAGUUCUGGAUGGGAAAGCCAUGGUCCAUUGAGCGGGGUGGUGGUGAGCAGGGGUUAGGGACAGCGUGGGAGAUGGUGACAGAGGGGCCUGAUAUGGAGGGUGGAAGAAUCAAAGAGAAACUUGGUGCAUUUGAUGAUGGAGCUUGGAGCCAGCUCUGCUUGAGUGGACCUGGCCCGGAAGCCUGCCAUCUCACUUCUCGGAGAUGAAGAUGAUGAGAGUGCGCGUGGUAGGGGAUUGUUAGGUUUCAAGAAUUUAUACGGUAUGAUGGUUUUUCUCCUCUUCCCAAUCCAAGAAACAAAACAAAAUCCAAUGUAAACUAACUGUCAAGUCUGAGGGCUGAGUCUUUACUGGAAUUUAUUAGAUGUGGAAAUAGCGUGGCUUCGCAUGAGGGGAAGCUGCAUUGGUAAUCUGAUGCUGGAAAGGUGGAUGUUCCAGUUGGGGAGGCUUAUGCGAAUGGACGCACAGCAGUCCUAAAGGGAACAGGAUUCCAGAGUUGUACACGAUAUUGUUUGCGCACUCUCUGUCAGACCCAGGCUUCUUGGGGCUAAAGCUUCAGGGAUGAAGGACAGGGCUCUUCCCUGGCACACGACCCACAGUCAGGAAACCCAGUAAAAACCAAUUCAGUUAACUGCAAACACUUUAUGAGAAUGACUAUGGAUACUCUUUCUCUAGAAUUAGAAGAAAGAAAAAAAGAGACUCCAUUUUUUUAAAAACAAAUAUUUCAACAGCUCUUCAGUUAGAUUUCUCCCAAGCUUAAGGCGUUAGCUUCUCCUUGAAUUGUGCCUUGCUCCUUUUUCUUAAGAUUAUGACAUGUUAAAUGGUGAUUUACUCAUUUCUGUAAUUAGAUGUAGAGAUUAGAAUCCCCUUUAUCUUACUCUGCAGUUUUCCUUUAUGGGAAAUUAUGAAAGAAUAAUAGGUAAAAAGUUCAGAAUGGGAGAAAGAAUAAACAGAAUGCUGAAUGGAUAAUAAAAUAUUUAGUGCUUUUCAAUUAACUGUUCUCACGAUUAGUACACUAGUAUAUUAUAUCAUAAAAAUCAUGUCUAUUAAUUUUUUGCAGCCAUUAUCUUGACUGUGAUUUACUCCCUUCAAAUCAUUAACAAUGCCAUUAAAAAGGUGGAUGGGGAUGGAUGUCCUGGAGAGAGUUCAGGGAUGUAAUAGGAUUAUUGUUCAGGGUCACAUGGAGAUUGAAAACGGGAGAGCGGAGGGGAAGCGGCGGGAGAGAGAAGUGCUGAGAGCAGGAAGAAGAUGGAGGACGAUGCCUGCCCACGGCCCCACGAUACAGAGUCAAGUCGGUCCCUCCAUGAGAAUGCGGGGGAAGGGACCUUAGCUGAGGCAACGUUGCUUGGAGUGGAAGAAGAUGCCGCGUGUAAAAGGCUUAGUGACUUGAGUGUGUGGGCUUUGCUCAUGGUAGAAUUUCAUUGCUUGGGGAGGGGAAGAGAAAUCUAUGUAUGGAGGAGAGUCCUUAGGGUUCCCCCAGGGCCAACGAGGCAUUUAUAUUCCAAGGAUGCUCAAGGCUCAAGGGCGGCACUUCUACCCAGCCAAAGAAGGAACCCCGACUCUUCAUAAAUAGUUCUCUUAGGGAAAGUGAGGUAAGCCACAUAAACCGGGGAGUGUUAGCCAAGAGACUGGGGCACUCCGGGGUUGCAGCUGUGCUGUGUGCUGACAACCUGCAGACUCCAUUUCUUUACUUUGUCUUCCUUUGGCUAAUCAGCUAGUCAGCCUUCAAGGCUGAUGCACCAUGAACAUAUGUGUCUUGCCUAUGCAUGGCAAGCAAGGUUCUAGAGAACAGUGCUUUGGUGAGGUGUUCUUGUUCUUUAGUUUCCUGUUUUUCUCAGUAGGGACAACUCUACCAGUUUGGAUUCCAGGUCUGCAGUCUUGAUUUGCUGUCUUAGGGGCUGUGAGUACAUCUGGAGAUAACCAAGGGGUGCCCUCCUGUUUAAAUACUGUGCAACUUGAUGGCAGAAUUCAGACUGAAUUUCUAGCAGACUAGUUUGCUUGCGAGAAUCACUUUUGGCUUGGACAUUUUAACCAGGAAACAUAACAUUGCUCUAUCCUAUUAAUACCAGCUGUGGGCAGUCGGUCAGCACUGAUGUGCACUGCCAGAUGUUAGCUGAAACCUCAAAAGAAAAAGACCAACCAAACAAAAAACGAUAAAACAAAACAAAACAACAAAAAAACUCUUUUCAAAGAAGUUGUAAUGCCAACAUUUUAUAAAUCAGAGUCCAUGUGCUUUUUUUAAUUAUUACUUUUUCUAGACUUCUGCAUUCCAGAUAAUAAUUUCAAUGAUGAAACCUUAUGAUAUGGAGACACAUAUUUGUUUAGGCAGCUGGUAAGUGUACGUGGAAACAUUACAGAUAGUAUCUAAUAUCCAUACAUCCCUUUAAUUACUCUGAACUUAGCCGUGUAAGUGGAUGGGUGAUGGAUGUCCUGACCACACCCAGUGCUACUAAUUUCCUGAUCAUUUUGGAUCCUUCCAAUGGAAUCAGAUCACAGCCAUUGCUUGGCUUUAGAAUGAACAAUGAAUGACUUUGUAUUUUGUAGUGUCAUGUUUUGAUUAUUGGCACAACUCAGCUUAAAUGAUGGCGGCCCAAAGGCCCCUCUACCUUUUCUUAUAUACCUAUAUUUGUUGUUUGUUUUGAGACAGAGUUUCUCUGAGUAGCUCUGGCAGUCCUAGAACUUGUUCUGCCGACCAGGCUGGCCUUGAACUCAGAGAUUAGCUUGCGUCUGCCUCCUAAGUCCUGGGAAUAAAGGCAUGGGUCAUCUUUGCCCGGCUCUGUGCCUUUUCUUUUAAAACCAUUUUAAAAACUAAAAUAUAAUCAUUUCACUUCCCCCUUCUUUUUUCUCCCUCCAACUCCUCUCUGUCUAUCUUAUUCUUAAAAUGGUAAGAGAUCUUUCUAGAAAUCGGAAGUCUUGUUAGUGGAAAUGGAGCAGGCUGUCAUUAGACAAAUGGUAAGACAUGUUCACAGGAACAAAUGCUUCAGGAAAUCAGAGUCCCACUAUGUCCAGAGAGAGGUUGUGUACAACAGAAUUUCUCAAAAAACCUUUACUGCUGGAACCACUGGGCAUUUGUGAAGUAACACUCGGCCUCAGUGGCUGCCACCAGGGGCUCCCACCUCAGCUGGGCAUUCGGACUUUCAGUGAAGAACUGCUGAUCCCCAACACUGAAGAUUCUGACCUAGUCCUUUUGGGUUGGCAUUCGAGCAGUAGCUUCUCUUGUUUUUAGUUUUUUAUGUGAGGCGUGGUCUGGCUCUGUAGCUGAAGCUGGCCUUGAACUUGUGUUCUUCAUGCAUCAGCUUCUUGUGGUAUUCCAGCCCAUGCUAUCACACACUGCUGCCUUGGCAGUUUUAAAUGAUUUGCAAGUGAUUAUUUUGGGAUUUCGAGAGACUUAAGAAUAAUUGUCUGGUGUAGUUUGAAGGCAAGCUUAAUAAUAGAACCUUAUUUGCAUCAGCAUAGGAGACUACAAUGAGGGGGGCAGUCUGCAUUGCUCAGACAAGCAUAGAAGGGGACCUUUCUUCCCAGUUUGGUGUCCUACUUAGCCUCCUAAUAAUCUACCAGUGUCCAGCUGCCUUAGUCCGGAGACGGUCAGAAUGUUUUCUAGUGUAUGGUAACUUGUCAGAGCCCAGUGACAGGAUUCAGGUGGUUAGCCCCAUCCCAGGAAGGACCAUGUGGGCUGAGGAGCCCUCUUAAGCUCCUUGAUCUUUCUUUUUCUGCAGCUAAGAAAGGCCAAGUUCAGGGAUCACACUCAAUCCCAGGGACAAGGAUUACCUCAGCGUGCUGCUCCCCACAACCACAGCUCUGAGCAGCGUGGGAAGACAAAGACAGCUGUGCCCGCUGGCGGCCUCAGAUGUUCCCACAGCAGCGCUACACUGCAGGGUCCCCAGGGUCAUCAAAUAUUCAGGAGGAUGUCGGAGUCCUUUGUAUCACAGCCAGAAAUGCCACGUGCUCCGGGUUGGAUCGCACUGGGCUCUUGUCGCUGCCAGUAGUGGAUUGUGAGAAAGGGGAAAUGGCUCUUUUAUCAAACUGAAUGCUGAUAGCAGAUUAUGGGUAUCUUUGUGUGAGAUAGAAUGACAGAUUUUCCGGCUUCUUGUUCAAGAAAAAAAUGGCUAAAUGAGAACUGUGCUGGACUAAGAGUCCAUCCAUUCCUGAAGAAAAUCACUGUCUUUAGUUCUUAUUGUAAUCCGUUUUUAAAGGCGGCGGCCUGUCCUUGGGAGGAGCCGGAAUCAGGGCACACUGCAAAGCCUGUUGGGUAGUUAGCUGUUUUUAGUUGAUAAGCACAGGAAAGCUAAAGCAGCCUUAAAACUCCCUGGUGGCUGGGGAUGCCAGAAAAUGCCACUGAGUGGACGAGCACAUGGCCACACAGCAGAUGCCUCCUCCAUUUCCCCUCAGACGUGCGACUUCUUUCAGAGGGAGAUAAACAGCCUUUGCAACAGAGAAUUAGAAUAUCCAUCUUGGUGACAUUUUCUUCUUCUAUUCAAACUGUUUUUCUUAACACAGUUAAGAGUACUGUGUUUUUUAGAGUUUUGUCUUUUCUGAAUGACUGGAAAGAUUCACAGUAGCUUAAUAUCAUUUCUCUGGUCAGUCAGCCAAUGGGAAGAUUAAGUGGGUUUCCAUACCAGCCCUCCUUGGUCCGGUUUUAGCAGACAUUUUCUGACAGUGAUGAGAGAAUAGGAAUUUGCUCAUUAAAUUGACCAAGGAAAACAGCAGGGUGUGGCGGUCUGCUUCUUAUUAGAACUGGUAUUAAACUGCAUAAGUAAAAGAGGAGGAGGAAAAGAAGAAGGAAUGAAUAAUAAUAACAACAAAACAAUAAUAACAAUAAUAAUAAUGAUAGUAACAAUAACAGGUAAAUGGAAACUGUAAAAAUUUAGAAAGCUGGUUAUAUGUAGUACUAGGGAGAGAGCAUCAAAACACAAGCCGGGACCUGUUGGUUACAACACACCUUAAGACGUAACAAAUUGUGACCAAGAUCCACAUCUUGGAACCAGAAGGUUAUCAGCUGUCUUUUUGACACUAGGUCAAUGAAACAUGUCCUCUGCACAGGAGGUGGUGAAAAUGGAGUCCUUUGUGGUUCUGAGGUAGGCCCUGCUUUCAUUAACUCUAGACUGUAGACUUGAUAGUUGCUGGCCGGGAAGGUAGGCUGAGCACAUAUGUGGAUUUAGACUGAGGAAAUCCUCAAGGCUUCAGUCCCACAGAGAGAUUCAAACUCUAACGAGCUGAGUGACCUUGACCCAGCCAGCCCUUCUGCAUCCCAAGCCUUCCUUUGCUCAGCCAGGAAACAGAUCUCCUCAGGGAGUAAUGGGAAACUCAACUGUUCUCAGUGUCUGGGAAGAUGUAAAGAAACCAUGAUAGUUUCUAACAUAACUAUUAAAAACAAUAAAAAUCAUGUAGUGGGCAAA